UGGGGGUAGAGCACUGUUUCGGCUAGGGGGUCAUCCCGACUUACCAACCCCAUGCAAACUCCGAAUACCGCGGAGUACAAUCAUGGCAGACAGACGGCGGGUGCUAACGUCCGUCGUCAAGAGGGAAACAACCCAGACCGCCAGCUAAGGCCCCUAAGUUCUAGUUAAGUGGGAAAGGAUGUGGGAGCACACAGACAACCAGGAGGUUGGCUUAGAAGCAGCCACCCUCUAAGGAAAGCGUAAUAGCUCACUGGUCAAGUGAACCUGCGCCGAAAAUAUAACGGGGCUCAAACUAGACGCCGAAGCUGCGGACUACGUUUUACGUAGUGGUAGAGGAGCAUUCCAGUCGCCUGUGAAGGGAUACCGUGAGGAGUCCUGGAGGUUCUGGAAGAGAGGAUGCUGACGUGAGUAACGAUCAAUGGGGUGAGAAUCCCCAUCGCCGAAUACCGAAGGGUUCCUGGGCCAGGCUCGUCCUCCCAGGGUUAGUCGGGACCUAAGGCGAGGCCGAAAGGCGUAGUCGAUGGAAAGCAGGCAAACAUUCCUGCACCAUCUUUUUGGAUGCUCGAGCACGAGAAGGGACGGAGAAGGUUAGGUUCGCCGGCUGUUGGAUAUGCCGGUGUAACCCCGUAGGAUGGCUGAGUUGGAGGUUUCGUACCACAAACGCUCGGCUAGAUCUGAGAGGGGAUGCAGAGCGGCUCGCAUCUGAGCUGCUGAAUCAAUGAAUCGAUACCAUACUUCCAAGAAAAGCUUCGCGUGUGAGUCCAAUUAGAUGCCCGUACCAAAACCGACACAGGUUGGUAGGUGGAGUACACCAAGGCGCGUGAGAGAACCCUGGUUAAGGAACUCGGCAAAUUGACACCGUAACUUCGGGAGAAGGUGUGCCUCCAAGGUGAAGCAUUAGCUUGUGGAGCCAGCGGAGGUUGCAGAGAAGAGGGGGUAGCGACUGUUUACCAAAAACACAGGACUCUGCGAAAUCGUGAGAUGACGUAUAGGGUCUGACGCCUGCCCGGUGCCGGAAGGUUAAGAGGAGCGGUUAG
RNAcentral lists this ribosomal RNA (1037 nucleotides) under Chaetoceros affinis. Its description in RNAcentral is "partial Bacterial large subunit ribosomal RNA". It matches the Rfam family "Bacterial large subunit ribosomal RNA", at positions 897 to 1893 of the family's 2925-position model. Lineage: Eukaryota; Bacillariophyta; Thalassiosirophyceae; Chaetocerotales; Chaetocerotaceae. The record is from RNAcentral.